RNAcentral lists this long non-coding RNA (984 nucleotides) under Mytilus galloprovincialis (Mediterranean mussel). Lineage: Eukaryota; Metazoa; Mollusca; Bivalvia; Mytilida; Mytilidae. The record is from RNAcentral.
AUUAUUAGGUCUUUCCACUUUUCCGUGGAAAGACCUAUUGAAUUUGUUCUGAUUAUUAUUAAGUCUUUCCACUUUUCUGUGGAAAGACUUAUUGUUUUUGUUCUGAUUAUUAUUAGGUCUUUCCACUUUUCCGUGGAAAGACCUAUUGUAUUUGUUCUGAUUAUUAUUAUUUUUUUUUUUUUUUUUUUUUUUUUUUUUUCUUCCGCCUAAAUUUUUUUCUUGCGUAGUAUUGAUGUUUCAAAAGAUGUCGCUUAGAUAUUUGGAAUAUGAUGUCGUAUAGUUUUAUACGCUUUAAAAAUUGACAACUGCGUAACAAAAUACUUUACGUUGUAAGAGUUAUCUCCCCAAACACUGUUUUUCUUGUGGCCACUACUCCUUCGCAACCGUAAAAGAUUACGACAAAUUUAUUUUACCAAAUUGCUCGUUACUUCUUCAGGAUUAGGCAAUUCAUUUGGACCGAAGCUAUCUGGAGACUCCAUAUGAGAGUUAUUUCCCCUUAUGCAUUUGAUAUAAGUGAUAUGCGUUUCUAACUGGUAAACCAUAAGUGAUAGAGACCUAGGGUCUCUUGAUUUGAGAUCCUUGGUCCAAAAAAAUGAAAAUAAGGUCAAGGUCAAAGGUCAAGGUCAUAUUCUAAAAUUUGAUUUUGGCUUAUUUUCACUUAUUUUCAAAUACUGUAUGACAUAUUGACAAAUAUUUUUUCCUAAAUUGUUAGUUGCGACAUGUCCUUACUUGUAUAUUUUGGUUGAAAGGGUGCGCAUACAAUAAAUUGGAGUUUUUGUCCAUCUUACAUUUAGAAUUACGCGUAAAGUGGUAUUACUCAUUAACCAAACAUAUUAAAGACCUAGGGUCUUAUGAUUUAAGGUCCUUGAUUUGUGACCUUGAAAUUGAGGUCAAGGUCAUAGGUUAAAAGGACGUUCUAGAUUUUGACCUUUGCUUUAAAUUCAUAUAAAUACAUCAUAAAGCCAUAGGAACUAACAUUUUAAA